Molecule: ribosomal RNA, 3277 nt
Filed under: Triticum aestivum (bread wheat)
Lineage: Eukaryota; Viridiplantae; Streptophyta; Magnoliopsida; Poales; Poaceae
Description: partial small subunit ribosomal RNA
Source: RNAcentral
AUGAAGGUUGUAGAAUUUGCACCGCACCAAAGGUUGACUUCACGAAGCAGGACUCAGAAGGGACGACGGCAAGGAGGGAGGGUUUAGGGGGGAGUUGAGGCUUGGUUGGCUGGGACAUCGGCGCCGCCGGCCUCUGGCUUGUUGACGGCGGAAUGACCGCUGGCCGAGGUAAUUUUACCAAAGGCUAGUUUGCCCGCCGUCGGGACGCUCGCCUGCUGGCUCCCCCCUCUAGGCUCCUUCGCCGCCCCUCCUAGCUACCGCUUCCCCUGCUGCCUCUACCUCCAGCCCAGGCUGCCGCAGCGGCAGUAGAUGUAGCGGUUGGGCGGGCACUUGCGGGAGAGGUAGCUGCAGGACAAAUCGAACUUUCCCGUGAUACUUCUCCACGAAGCUUCCUUACUACACUUUCGAUAACAAGAAUGUCCUUCACCUUCCAGUAAAAGACGACCUGAGCUAUAAUCACGGAAGCGACUAUAAGCGUUUGGCCUCGUCGAUUUCCUAGUGACGUAUAACUAACUUCGGUACUGACUAUAGAAGCUUCUACGACCCUUCGGUAGUCACCGACGAUAACUACCGGGACGAGAACCACCUCCAAAUCUUUAAAGGUACCAUACGGUUCGUGCGUAAAGUUGAGGAUUACGAGUUAAUCCGGAGUGCCUCGAAGUCAAACCUCAUUAUGGACCUAAACCUCCUUGUGUCGCGGAAGGGGCGGAACAACCUGACUGUUUUCGUGAACUUUACUACUACGAGAGCUUCGGUUAAUUUCGGCUUCUUCGGGUACUCGACCCAGACCAGCUGCGACAACAAAGUGGAUUGCUAAACAACUUAUUACGGGCGGCAACCCGAAACCUGUAGAUACUCAGCUUUUCCGGUACCCGGGCUCGGGAGAUGUUUUGACUGUUCGAACUUAGGGGACUAGACCGGUCUCUCUAGGAGUUAAGACGGUCUCAAGUCAGAGCCUUCACCCGACGGUUAGAAGUCAUAGGUAAGCAGACAUAGCUACGACAGCUUCUUCCAUAUCAAAGUCCCGGUGUUCGGCCCGAAGCCUUCCAUACUAAACGAAAUGACAAAUCAUGAGAGAGGCAGGGUUUUAUUCACAGAGUCGAGAUCAUGUUGAAACAUGAUUUCAAUCAUGUUUCAACUCUGUGAAUAAAACCCUGCCUCCCUUAUAAACCGAACUGUUCUUUUGAUAUAAAUUCUAAAGUGCACUCAACACACGUUGUGUUUACGUCCUUCGGUACCGAAAAGUCCUUGAGAAAAAGAGUCUAUGUACAUUUUCGAACUAAGUACACAAGAAAAGUGUUGCACGUUGUAGUUUCCAUCUCUUGUUCCUUUUUUGUGACACGGACAAGGUCUAUUUUACAGUACGAAAACUCAACGUAACAAACUUCGGUACUCUCAUACUCUAUACGUACAACACCCGUCUUAACAUGGGUGAAUGGACAUCGAUAUAAUAUUACAUCUUACGGUCGGAAUAUAGUUAACGUCGUCCAAGGACCCUAGUGUCUGAAUCCAAACUACGGUUCCUUCCAUAGAUUGCAACGGUAACAACCACCACCUGAAUACCCAAGACCUUAGCGUUGGCGCGACUAUGACUCGGUAAUAGGACAAUAUGACUUUCUUCAGUUGCUCCUUAAGGAUUUGCGUCCUUAACUGUCCUAGUUUCUUUUGAACGUCUCAGCACAUUCCUUUCCUUUUUACUGUUUCCUCUUUAUACUGUUCUGGGAGAGUGAAGAAUGUCCACAGGAGCUAAUACUUUUUAAGUUCUCACAACUGAAUCGUUAGCUCCGUUAGCAUCUCUUACACUUCAACUUCGUCGUCUAAAAACGACUUGACCUCGUUGUGACAGGAAGGGUAACAUAAGAACGGUGGUUGUGAAGGUGGUAACUAGAACUGGACUAGCCUCUCUUCUGUUUAAGGGUUCUGGCGUAACAACCGUGUGUGAAGAAGCGAGGUCGAGUAUAGUACGGAGAAGAACUCUAUCAGGUGUGGGGAGCGCGGAGAAACGUUCGUCAACAGUGGAACGACCUACACCCCUUCUUCUAGUUCUUCUGUGGUUAUCACCAGUCUUUGACAUGGCCGAAGCGCCAGUUGGCCUACAAGAAAGGCAUGUGAGUCCGUCGUGAUACCGAACAGCUAGUACCUUACCUACAAAUGUUCUAGCUAGUCCGAACAUGACUUAAGCCCUACGGUUAACCAGGUAAGUCUUACUGUCUAGACCAACCAAAACCUCAACGAGAUCGGUGUCCGUACGUCGUGGAACUUUUGAAGGGACUCGCCCAGAUGUUCAGUUACGACUAAAGAGAGUACUGACUCCUGUUUUCUUGUCCACUUCGGAGAGUUUUCCCCAAAAUGUCCAUACUAUCAUUCUCCUUCCGCUCGGGACUAGGACUUUAGUACUUGAUAGAGCUCCUCAGCUCCUCUUAACGUCCUCGGUGUGGACUAGGGCUCAACGAGUUCGAACUGUUGUCGCGCUAUCGUCUCUACCACAACAAGGGCCAAUAGUUGCUUCGGACGGCACAGGACCCCCUCCCGUAACGGAAGUUCCGGAGACUGGAGCUGUAGCGGAGGUAGAAGCCUUACCCAAAGGGCGGUAUGUCCCCACCGUAGUACGUGACCCGCCUAAGGUAGCCGCGUUCCGCGUAAACGCGCUACGACAGCCUCACCCUCUGGUUAACACUUUACGUUGGUCCCCACCGUAGUACGUGACCCGCCUAAGGUAGCCGCGUUCCGCGUAAACGCGCUACGACAGCCUCACCCUCUACUUCAUACCGGUCAAGAAGUUUGGAACGUCGGUGGACAACCUCUCCCGCCGACUUCCAGAAGGAGACUCGCGUAACCGCUGCUUCUGCUACUUGUUGGUCCGGUUCCUGUUCGACAUCAAAGAAAAGGAGUAAGAUGGUAGUAAACAAAAAACGAAUCCAACUACGUCUUAUUCUUAUUGCACCGAAGUUUAGCGAAGUCUGACCCUUCGACGACUCAGUACCUUCCCCUCUCGGUCUUCUGACUUAUUUGUUCAUUGCUAAACUUUUCUUCAAAGAACAAUAAACCGGCUCCACUAAAGUGUUUUCAACUAGUACGUUUUACACAGACUUAUUCUCACUAGUUUCUACGCGGCGUGCUUGAGGUAAGCUUAACAUAGUUUAAAGCUAGUAACCUAUAUAGUACACGCUGACCUAAUAUAUCCCUCAAAUUUAGAACCACACACUUUCUCCACAAGUUCGUCCUACUAGAUCGUUCUCAAACUUGAAACAUGAGGACAAAACGUUCAUAAAUCACG